ACAUGCAAGUCGAACGGCAGCACGGGGCAACCUGGUGGCGAGUAGGCGAACGGGUGAGUAAUGCAUCGGAACGUGCCAUUGAGUGGGGGGUAACGUAGCGAAAGUUACGCUAAUACCGCAUAUUCUGUGAGCAGGAAAGCAGGGGAUCGCAAGACCUUGCGCUCUUUGAGCGGCCGAUGUCAGAUUAGCUAGUUGGUGAGGUAACGGCUUACCAAGGCGACGAUCUGUAGCGGGUCUGAGAGGAUGAUCCGCCACACUGGAACUGAGACACGGUCCCAGACUCCUACGGGAGGCAGCAGUGGGGAAUUUUGGACAAUGGGGGCAACCCUGAUCCAGCCAUGCCGCGUGAGUGAAGAAGGCCUUCGGGUUGUAAAGCUCUUUCGGCCGGGAAGAAAUCGCAUGGGUUAAUACCCUGUGUGGAUGACGGUACCGGCAUAAGAAGCACCGGCUAACUACGUG
Molecule: ribosomal RNA, 459 nt
Filed under: uncultured bacterium
Lineage: Bacteria
Description: bacterial SSU rRNA
Rfam family: Bacterial small subunit ribosomal RNA
Source: RNAcentral